This is a long non-coding RNA of Dermochelys coriacea (leatherback sea turtle), 1184 nucleotides long. RefSeq lists it as uncharacterized. Lineage: Eukaryota; Metazoa; Chordata; Testudines; Dermochelyidae. The transcript is spliced from 2 exons. The record is from RefSeq and is a predicted model, not a curated record.
AAACAAAUUUAUUUAGCAUCUGGAGUUGUGUUUUGGAUUUGAAAGGACACGGUCAGCUUGGAUUCUGGGCUAUUUCAUAGUUGCAGAUUCUAAGUCUUGUGUUUGAAUUCUGCUGGCUGUCUUUACAAGUACUACAUAUUCCUUUUUUUCAUCUUUCGCAUGGUGUGGUGUAAAAGAUACACAGUAAAUAGGAAAUAGACACUGAAUAUAAAGUGAAAAUUACUGUACAUAAAAUGAGGACAAAACCUUUUUUUAAAAAGUGAGCGAGAGAGAGACAGAAACGUGUCUCCACUCAUUCAGUUAGGGUUACUUAUGUGUUACUUGUAAAAAAACCAAUUCAGACAGAAGUGUAAGAUUUUUUGAAGGUGAUGGUGUCCCUUUAAGGAUAGUACAUGUGUAACAGGCCUUGUUCUCUAUGGCAUUGCCCCUUGUGUAGUCAUUUACACCUAUGCAAAAUUGGUGUAAAAUGCUCCAUUUCUGAUUUGGUAGAGGUUUGCACCUAUUUUGCACAGCGGUAUAUGGUCAUGCAAGGCUCAAGGCAGUGGACAAUCAGGACUGAAGUGUCUCCAUAACUGCAGUUAAACUGGAUUACAGCCACCAUAUGUACUAUGGGCUGGAUUUGCCACUUGCUUACACUGGUGUAAAUGAGAGUAACUCCAGUGACGUCAAUGGAGUUACUCUAGUGAAAGUGAGAUGAGACAAGGCUCUCUGAAAUGAAACUUGAAUCAAUUUGUAGAAUUUAACACAUAAUUCUUCCAGACACUACUGUGACUCUGGGUAGGAUUCCUUCCUCAUGUAAACAGGUGUAAUUCCUACUUUAGUCAAUACAUUUACACCAGCAUAAAAACAGCCAGAGAGGAGAAUCAGGUCCCUGCCUUCAUUUUCCUUUUAAAGCCAGAGCAUGGAGAUUCAACACUAAGUUAUCUCCAUUUUCCACAACAAAACACACAGACUCGUAGAUGCUCAAAGAUCAAUGUUCAGUUUUUUGUACAGGUGCCAGAACAGUUAAGCAGGCAAUGAGAAUGUUUGGAUAAAUAAAACUUUAAAACACUGCCAUUUGGGAAUGUUUUUCAGCAGAAUGCCGCUCGACCUGGCUGGGGGAACUCUGUGCUACAGUUGCAUUUGAGAUGACAAAGGGGUACAUUUUUCUAUUUCAUAAUCGCUAACAUGAGGAUGUUUCUUCU